UCGAGUAAAAUGCGGCGCGGGGCGGGGGUCCGGGCGGGCUCCGCGCCCCCUCCCCGGAGUUGCCCCUCGCUCCGGGCCCUGCCUGCAGCCCUGCCGCCAGAAAAGCCUUUCCUCUAGGUGCUGCGGCGCUCGCACGGAAAUUGCCUCAGCCAGAAGCAGUGGCAGUGGGGACUGUUCUACUUGCAGGAAUGUUGGGACUAAUCAUGUGAGAAAAGAUCCUGGAGUGAUGAGGCAGCAUAUUUCCCAUGUCUGAGGUCAGGAUUUGUUCUGUGAAGCUGACCUUUAAAACAGCCUGAAAAUGAGGAACGUGACACCAGAGCAGAGCAGGAAGCAUGAAAUUAUAGUCCUAAGAGAGAAGCAAAUGGAUAUAAGCAUGUACUGUAUUUGUGAGACCAGCCCUGGGAUGGCCUGCACGUUAUAAAUUGAUGUUGAAAAAUGGGUGGUGGAACAUUAGAGCCACACAAAAUGAUUCAGAGCCGGAAGAAAAUGCUUUGCAAUGGGAGACAUGGAGCACUUUGUCUCUUUAGUUUAUCAAAAAAGGCUGAGCAGAGAAUUGAUUAUGAUGGUGAAGGAACUUCCUUGGAAGAAAAAUACCAGGUACUGAAAGGCUCUUUAAUCUAGUAAAUUAUGGGAAUGUGUUUCAGCAAGCUGAAAUCAGAUACAUUCAUAUGAAAAACUGGGCACAAAUUUAUUGGAAUGAAGGUGGUUAAUCACCAUAACAAGCUGUCAGGAUAGUUGGAACAUUUUCCAGAUGUGCUCAAGCCAAGACGGGCCUGUUUCUGAAGGGCGUGCACUAAGCACAGUUAAAAGCAUGAGGGACACUGCAGUCGAGUCUCAGGCAAGGUAAACAGGUGAUGUUUGAAGGACUGUGAUGUGUGACAGGCUUGACUAACAGCUCCCAAAGGAGCUGUGAAGAUCUAAUGGUUCCCAUCUGUCCUUUACCUCCCAGAGACAGAGAAAAACAGCACUUAGCAGAAAGUGGAAGGGAGGCAUCAGAAUGACAGCCUCAUUGCUGGCACACUCCUGUGACCUCUGUUUCUGGAAGGACUGUGUCUUUCACCUCCUUGGGGCUCUGCUAAUGUUUGCUCUACUGCCAACACAAGAACAACCUUUCUUCAGUCCACAAGCUCUUUGUACAGAUUGGCAUCAGCACCUUUCAUUUUAGGAGAGAAUGAAUAAAAAUUUGUGAUGCUCAGUGGUAGCCAGGAUAAGUAGUUUCCUUUUUCAGUUUUUUUUUUUUUUUAAUUCCAUCUUCAUAAGCUUUGGUUUUGCCUGUUCUUCACACCUCCUAGUUUCCCUAGUAUCCAUUUCCUUGUAUUGCCUUUGCCACAAGGCUCAGUGUAUUUUCCUGCAUUGAUAAUCUGUGGUGCAGGAUGCCUUGGAGGGUGCUUCCUACCUAUAAUUUGACAAAAUAAACGCUGUCUUUCUUGCACAGAUUUCACAUGGGAUGGGUAUGUCAGUGAUGUGCUGUGUAGAUAAGAGCUUGUCAGGAACUUUUUGAUAAAGUACCUUUCAUCCAAAAGUACAAGUUUGUAUCUGCUGUAGCUAUUGAUGGAAACACACUAAGCCGUCUUUGCAAAAUACCUGCAGUCUGUAUCUCGAGAAGUGCCCUAAUCUAAUUUUAAAAAUUUUCUAAUUUUAAAAAGGCUCCUUUUCCAGAAGACCAGUUGGUGGUGGAAAUCAGGAAUUUCUUAUCUCCUAUUCCCUUUUCUGGGGUCCCAGUGCUUUCAUGCUUAUUGGCCAUCUGCCAGGGAUGAUGCAAGUAUUUUAUACUCUCAAGCCCUGAGACAAGUUUGCUCACUUUUCCUGGUUCCAAAGGGCAAGGUACAAAGUCAGAGCUGAAACAAGGCAAGUGAUUUCCACACAGCAUCCCUGUCUUCCAAUUGGAAAGACAUGGAUUUGAAAGGUGGACUGUUUGCUAGAUAAGGCAUUGACUGGGUGGAUGCAGCCAGAGAAUUGUGGCCAAAGAUUCUAUGCCUAGGCUGGUGCUGAGUGGUGCCCCUUGAGGCUCUGUCUCUUCAGUAUCUUUAUUCAUGACAGUAGGACCAAGCACACCCUCAGCAAGUUUGCAGAUGGCAUAAAGCUGAGCGGUGCAGCUGGAACAGAGGGAAGGGAUGCCAUCUAGAGGAACCUGGACAAACUGGAGAAGUGGGAACAUAAGAAUCUCCUGAGGUUCAACAAGUGCAAGGCGCUGCAGCUGGGUCAGGGCAAUCCCAGACAGUACAGACUGGCAGAACAACUCAUGAAGAUCAGUCCUGUGGAAAAGGACUUUUGGGUUCUCGUGGAUGAAAAGCUGGACAGGAGCCAACAGUGAACACCUGCGGCCCAGAAAGCCAAACACAUCCUGGGCUGCAUCACAAGGUGUUGUCAGCAGGUCAGGGGAGGUGAUCCUGCCCCUUCCCUCUGCUCUCUUGAGUCCCCACCUGCAGUGCUGCAUCCAGCUCGGGUUCCCAGCACAAGAUGUGAACCUGUUAGAGGCAGUCCAGAGGAGGCCAUGAAGAUGAUCAGAGGGAUGGAGCACCUCUCCUGCCCAGACAGGCUGAGUGAGCUGGGAUUGCUCUUCUCUUGAUGGAGAAGAGGAUGCUACAGGAAGACCCCAUUGCAGACUUCCAGUACUCAAAUCACUCUCUUCAACUUCCUGAAGGGUGGCUGUGGUGAGCUGGGGGUCGGUCUCUUU
This is a long non-coding RNA of Zonotrichia albicollis (white-throated sparrow), 2677 nucleotides long. RefSeq lists it as uncharacterized. NCBI's taxonomy places the organism in Eukaryota, Metazoa, Chordata, Aves, Passeriformes, Passerellidae. The record is from RefSeq and is a predicted model, not a curated record.